CCUGGUUGAUCCUGCCAGUAGUCAUAUGCUCGUCUCAAAGAUUAAGCCAUGCAUGUGUAAGUACUGCCACUAGUACUGUGAAACUGCGGAUGGCUCAUUAAAUCAGUUAUCGUUUACAUGAUUGUAUCCCUUCACUGGGAACUACACGGAUAUCUAUGGCAAUUCUAUAGCUAAUACAUGCUAAAAACUCAGACUGCGCUCUCGGGUGCGGAACGAGUGUAUUUAUUAGAAUAAAACCAACAGCGUGCGUCUCUCGGGGCGUGCGCUUGUUCAAUGGUGAAUCAUUGUAACUUGUCGAAUCGCAUGGCCUUUGCGCCGGCGAUGUUUCAUUCAAAUUUCUGCCCUAUCAACUGUCGAUGGUAUGGUAUUGGCUUACCAUGGUUGUAACGGGUGACGGAGAAUUAGGGUUCGAUUCCGGAGAGGGAGCCUGAGAAACGGCUACCACAUCUAAGGAAGGCAGCAGGCACGUAACUUACCCACUCCCAGCUCAGGGAGGUAGUGACAAUAAAUACCUUACAGAUGUAUCGUUCAGCGAUAUAUCUUAAACGGAAUGAGUACAAUAUGAAGUAUUUAACGAGAACCGACUGGAGGGCAAGUCUGGUGCCAGCAGCCGCGGUAAUUCCAGCUCCAGUAGCAUAUAUUAAAGCUGUUGCGGUUAAAAAGCUCGUAGUUGGAUAUCAAUGCGUGUUCGGUUUGGUAUUCCCGUCGCGCGCUUGCGUGCGCUUUGGUCUGUGUGGUGUGCACUUGUGGCCUAGUUGCAUGUGUGCAUUGUGCACCUGAGGCGUCGUGAGUGCAGCGGGGCUUAAAUGCCAAUCGGCCGCAUAGCUUACGGCCAGUGUUAGCGAGCGGGCUUGCUCCUAGUGAGCCUGUUUGCGGCUGGCAAUUUACUUUGACUAAAUUUGAAUGCUCAACGUAUGCUUGCUUAUGCUUGAAUAUAUUGUCAUGGCAUUGGAGAAUAUGUCCCUGGUUCAUAUGGUUGGUUUUCUGAAUCGAAGGGAAAUGAUUAAUAGGGACUGACGGAGGCAUUCGUAUUGCAUUGCUAGGGGUGAAAUCCUAUGACCGAUGCAAGACGAACUACUGCGAAAGCAUUUGCCGAGAAUGUUUUCAUUAGUCAAGAACGAAAGUUAGAGGUUCGAAGGCGAUCAGAUACCGCCCUAGUUCUAACCGUAAACGAUGUCGACCAGCAAUCCGCAACAGUUACUUAACGACUGUGCGGGCGGCUUCAACCGGGGAAACCAGAGUUUUUGGACUCCGGGGGGAGUAUGGUUGCAAAACAGAAACUUAAAGGAAUUGACGGAAGGGCACCACCAGGAGUGGAGCUUGCGGCUUAAUUUGACUCAACACGGAACAACUUACCAGGCCAGGACACUUUUAGGAUUGACAGACUGAAAGCUCUUUCUUGAUUGAGUGGGUGGUGGUGCAUGGCCGUUCUUGGUUGGUGGAGUGAUUUGUCUGGUUUAUUCCGAUAACGAACGAGACUCUAGCCUACUUGUCGAGUGUGCAGUCUGCAUGUGCCAUUUCGGGAUGUCGCUCACACUUGUUCGGUGCGUUGGCUGUUUGUCGUAUUUUUGCAUUUGUCCCUCUGGGUAGAUGCGUACGUCAAAUGUGUCUUCGUGUCGUUCACGUGUGUUUGUCGUCAUUCUCUGAAGUGUGCGCACUAAGACUGUUAUGAGCACUUCUUAGCGGGAUUGUCGAUUGUUUCAAAAAACCGACAGAAAAAGAGCAAUAACAGGUCUGUGAUGCCCUUAGAUGUUCUGGGCUGCCCGCGUGUUACACUGGAGUAGUCAACGCGCUGGUAACUUUCUGCCUCGAUAGGGGUGGAUAAUCGUGAAAGCUAUUCCGUGAUGGGAAUUGAAAGUUGCAAUUAUCUUUCAUGAACGAGGAAUUCCAAGUAAGCGCAAGUCACUAACUUGUGCUGAUUAAGUCCCUGCCCUUUGUACACACCGCCCGUCGCUACUACCGAUGGACGACUUGGUGAGGUCGUUCUGAGUGAACACGAAGCUUUGGCUUCGCGUUUGCAAAAACGCCCAAACUUGGUCGUCUAGAGGAAGUAAAAGUCGUAACAAGGUUUCCGUAGGUGAACCUGCGGAAGGAUCAUUA
This 2100-nucleotide ribosomal RNA is filed under the name Diplothylacus sinensis. RNAcentral's name for it is "SSU rRNA". It matches the Rfam family "Eukaryotic small subunit ribosomal RNA". The record is from RNAcentral. Lineage: Eukaryota; Metazoa; Arthropoda; Thecostraca; Thompsoniidae.